UGGGGAAUAUUGCGCAAUGGCCGCAAGGCUGACGCAGCGACGCCGCGUGUGGGAUGAAGGCCUUCGGGUUGUAAACCACUGUCGGGGGGGGCGAAUACCUGGCUUCGAAUAGGAGACCAGGGGUGACGGUACCUCCAAAGGAAGCACCGGCUAACUCCGUGCCAGCAGCCGCGGUAAUACGGAGGGUGCGAGCGUUGUCCGGAAUCACUGGGCGUAAAGGGCGCGUAGGCGGCCGUGUAAGUCACUUGUGAAAUCCCGGGGCUCAACUCCGGGGCUGCAGGUGAGACUGCGUGGCUAGAGCACGGUAGAGGCGAGUGGAAUUCCCGGUGUAGCGGUGGAAUGCGUAGAUAUCGGGAAGAACACCGGUGGCGAAGGCGGCUCGCUGGGCCGUUGCUGACGCUGAGGCGCGAAAGCGUGGGGAGCAAACAG
Molecule: ribosomal RNA, 429 nt
Filed under: uncultured bacterium
Lineage: Bacteria
Description: bacterial SSU rRNA
Rfam family: Bacterial small subunit ribosomal RNA
Source: RNAcentral